RNAcentral lists this ribosomal RNA (507 nucleotides) under uncultured Lachnospiraceae bacterium. RNAcentral's name for it is "bacterial SSU rRNA". It matches the Rfam family "Bacterial small subunit ribosomal RNA", at positions 1 to 507 of the family's 1533-position model. Lineage: Bacteria; Bacillati; Bacillota; Clostridia; Lachnospirales; Lachnospiraceae. The record is from RNAcentral.
CGAGAGUUUGAUCCUGGCGUCAGGAUGAACGCUGGCGGCGUGCUUAACACAUGCAAGUCGAACGGGGAUGCUUAUGGAAGGAGUGCUUGCACUUUGGAAAUGAGUAUCUUAGUGGCGGACGGGUGAGUAACGCGUGGGUAACCUGCCCCAUACCGGGGGAUACCACCUGGAAACAGGUGCUAAUACCGCAUAAGCGCACGGGAGCGCAUGCUCCUGUGUGAAAAACUCCGGUGGUAUGGGAUGGACCCGCGUCUGAUUAGCCAGUUGGCAGGGUAACGGCCUACCAAAGCGACGAUCAGUAGCCGGCCUGAGAGGGUGGACGGCCACAUUGGGACUGAGACACGGCCCAAACUCCUACGGGAGGCAGCAGUGGGGAAUAUUGCACGAAUGGGGGAAACCCUGAUGCAGCGACGCCGCGUGAGUGAAGAAGUAUUUCGGUAUGUAAAGCUCUAUCAGCAGGAACGAGACAAGACGGUACCUGACUAAGAAGCCCCGGCUAACUACGUG